This 847-nucleotide long non-coding RNA is filed under the name Homo sapiens (human). RNAcentral's name for it is "HSALNT0220586". Lineage: Eukaryota; Metazoa; Chordata; Mammalia; Primates; Hominidae. The record is from RNAcentral.
AAACAGAUGGCUAGAUUCACCUUUAAAAUAUCAGCUUCACAUUCAGGCAGAACAACCUGAUUUCUCAAUAAUCAGUCAGUGUUAACGUAAACCAAGAGCCCCACAAGAAGUCAUUAAAGCUGUGCUGUUAAGAGGCCAGAGCUCUAUAAAAUAGGCAAGAAACAAGGUCUUGAGAAACAUGCGCUGUCCUCAAAAACAACCUUGCAAACACAAUAAAUCUGAUCCUUGACCUUGCCUCUGUCUCAAGCUGCUGUCCUCAAGGGUAGAGAUCAUUGGAAAACCAAUGUAAUUUUGCAGUUUCUCCCCAUUUCUGGAAUCUGGGCAGACCUUGACCUUGCCAGCAGAAUGAGAUGGAAGAUCAUGCUAAUUCCAUACCAGGUCCUUGAGAAGCGCUGUUUGAUGCCACCCACUCUCCUGGAACUUGCCAAAGACAUGUGAACAAACUCAGGACAGCCUGCUGGAUGGGGAAAGACAUGGUCCAAUCUUUCCUUUCACCCCAACCAACAACCAACUAUGUGACUGAGAUCAUCCAGCCAACAUUCUCCUUCACCAGCAAGCCUAUCAGCUGAUUGUAUACACACGAGUAAGUGCAACUGUGAUCAGCCAAUCCUGGCCCUUAUGAGCAGAACCACCCAUCUGAUCCACAAGCUUGUAGACAAUAAUAUAUACUUACAGUUUUAGGCCACCCUGUUUAGAAAUAAUUUGUUAUGCAGUGGUAGCUAACUAACACAAUCUCUCUUCUGUUCUCAGGAUAUUGCCCCAAUUUUAAAAAAUUGCUCAAUGAAUGUGGAUGUAAAUAAAAAAAAGUUAUACAAGUAGAUGACAACCCUCAGGUGACUGUUACACA